This is a long non-coding RNA of Maniola jurtina (meadow brown), 2556 nucleotides long. RefSeq lists it as uncharacterized. The record is from RefSeq and is a predicted model, not a curated record. The transcript has 2 exons. NCBI's taxonomy places the organism in Eukaryota, Metazoa, Arthropoda, Insecta, Lepidoptera, Nymphalidae.
UAAAUAAAUAAAUAAAUAAAAUAAAUAAUCUCUUUCUCUAAUCUACUAUGCAUUUCAAUUAAGAUUAUAAUCGCCACCACACCCACACCGCCACACGCACCAUAUUGGAAACAUGUACUUCAGUGUUUUCAGUUUUCUUAUAUUAUUUCAGUGGAAAACCCUGAUUUUAAUAAAAAACUAUUAGUUGCCAUGGUUGAGGUUUUUUGAGUAGGUAUCCAACCAACCAUGUCGAAGGUCUUCUUAAUUGAAAUCACUGAGUAUAACUACUAUGGUGCCUGGCAAACAACUUGGACCUGAAGCAGUGUCAUGGGAGCAAGUUGGUGAAUCCCGGAAGAGAAGGUCGAUGUAUCAACCAAUCGCCUGCACCCGCGCCGACGAUCAACCAAUCGCGUGCACCCGCCAUUCGUCAGCCAAUUGCGUCAAUGCUCAAGUUGUUUGCCGGGCACUCUACUAAGCUUUCGUUACCGGCGCACUUUUGCAUCGGUAAAUCAAGAAACGGUCUAAGAAUAGAUUCACAUUUAUACAAAGUCAUGAUGUACAAUUUCCAUAGCCAGAAAACGACCAAAAGUUAUUUUCUCGGUAUAAUAAUUCGCUUCGCUUUUACUCCGUGCCAAUGUGAAUCGAUCCUAAGGCCGGCCGCAAUACAGAAAUUGCCCUUUUCAGAUGGCACUCCGCAAAUUGUCAGAAUAUAACCGUAUCGAUCGUACAUCCGCUUCUGAUAUUCGCUAGUUCAGGCCAACCAGCAAAUAUCAGAUAGCUAGAUCAGAAUGUCGGGACUUGAAAGCUGCACUCCCCACACUCACUCUACACUCUUUCUCUCGUACUAGACUCUGCAAACCAUCAACCGGACGAUUCAAAACACUAGAUUCGGUGUCGGAAUCAAGUGUUCUUAAUCGCCCGACAGAUCAGAGAUCAGCUCGCGGCGAAUGCAAACUGAGCUUAGAUUCACCAAAGCGUUUCUGAUAAUAUGCGGGAGCGUCAGUAAGGGCUUGAAGAUUUUGGGUUGCCUAGUAGCCCAUCAUUUUACGUUUUUCCACACAAGCGGCCACACAUAAAACCUAUAUUAAUCAAUAGCUGGCAUCAAUACAAACAAGUACUGUAUGAAACAAAAUCUUUCAAAGCGUCACAUUGCUAUCAAAGUUGUACUGGUAGCGUCACCAGUACAAGAGUCUACUAGCCAUAUCUAUGCUACUAGCCACCAAUACAACUUUGAUAGCUCAUAGCUCAGAAAUAUGACUUUUUGAAAGAUUUUGUCUCAUAGAAUCUUUUAAUUAAAAAAAAAUGGUGGAGUACUAGGUAGGCCAGGUUCCUUGAAUAUUCAAACCCCUUUUAUGAUAAUUUCUAAUAACAUGCGGCCGGCCUAAAGGUGCAAAUAAAAUAAUGUGGAAUAUAUUUGGGUUUUUAAAAGAUUCUUUCUUUGCCUACGUCAUUAAGUUUCUAACACCCCAGCGGUUUAGGUUAUGUGUUGAUCGAUUAGUCAGUCAGUCAGGACUCCGACCUCCGAUCACCUUAGGACACACUACGACACAGUAGUUUAGUUGCACCAUAAGCUUGCACAAUAGCAACAAAAUAAAACAGCAAUCUACAUACUUUAACGAUUUUAUUUAAAUAUUUUUACAACCAAAAUACGUAAAAAUACGUAAUACGUAAGUAGUUCUUUCCUAUAACCAUUAUUAUCUAUGGUUCGUUUCAAUAGAUAAAGAUUCAAACUUUAUUACAUUUCAUGUUAAGUAUAAUAAUAAUUUUACUUGUAUAAUUUAAUGAAAUUCAUGGUUUUUGGUACUUAAUGAUUUUUUUUACAAAACAGGAACUAUGGCAAUUUUUUUGUGCAACCCUUUUCCCCCCAUUAUAUGGGAUUGUAAGUGGUCAAACCACGCGAAUAACGUAAUACUAAUUAGAAAGAUCAAUAAAUUAAGUUUUACUAUAAAAAUAGGUCAAUGAAAAAGUGAUAGUAGGUUGAUGAAAAUAUAUGCCGUGUAAAAUAGCAGGCAGAAACUAGUGUAAUAAAACAGUGCUUGUAAUAGAAAUUUUCAUUUAAAUGUAAAUGAAACGCCUUUAAUUAUAUGUAUAAAUAAGUAUUCAUGUCCUUUUGUGCGUUAGUGAAAUUUUUUUAAAUUAAAAAUCUCAAAAAUCUUAAUCUCAUCUUAAAAUAAACAAAAAUCUCUAACUAAGCAAAUCAUGUUACACAUGUUUAACAAUAAAAUUAUAAAACUUUUACUGUUUCAUAGUAAAAUAGAGAGUUAUAGUUACAAAAGCAUAUAAAUAAAGCACAAUUUAUGGAUCUAGAUACGACAAAUACUGGCAAAAAAAACAAACAUUGCUUCAAAACACAAAAUUAGUCAGGCUGCAUGGUCUACGACCUUUGCCUUUCCUGAAGGGGAUAAAAAUAAAAUUAAUAACAAACAAAAUUAGCUAACAUAUGCAUAAAACUACAAAAACUUAUGUUUUAUUGUAAUAUUUUUGGCUAUCUACAAUCCAUACGAUUUUGGCACUAGAUUCAUUUUUUCUGUACAAAAAAGUACACCUAAACAUUAAUUGAUCUUGUCAUCCUUUUCU